RNAcentral lists this ribosomal RNA (594 nucleotides) under uncultured bacterium. RNAcentral's name for it is "bacterial SSU rRNA". It matches the Rfam family "Bacterial small subunit ribosomal RNA", at positions 247 to 838 of the family's 1533-position model. The record is from RNAcentral.
AGUUGGUCAGGUAACGGCUGACCAAGGCGACGAUGUCUAGGGGUUCUGAGAGGAAGGUCCCCCACACUGGAACUGAGACACGGUCCAGACUCCUACGGGAGGCAGCAGUGAGGAAUAUUGGACAAUGGUCGGAAGACUGAUCCAGCCAUGCCGCGUGAAGGUUACAGUCCUAUGGAUUUUAAACUUCUUUUAUAAGAGAGCAAUAAGGUGCACGCGUGCAUUGAUGAGAGUAUCUUAUGAAUAAGCAUCGGCUAACUCCGUGCCAGCAGCCGCGGUAAUACGGAGGAUGCAAGCGUUAUCCGGAUUUAUUGGGUUUAAAGGGUGCGUAGGCGGAUUGAUAAGUCAGCGGUGAAAUUCACAGGCUCAACCUGUGCCGUGCCGUUGAAACUGUCCAUCUGGAAUACGUAUGCUGUGGGAGGAAUGUGUAGUGUAGCGGUGAAAUGCAUAGAUAUUACACAGAACACCUAUUGCGAAGGCAUCUCACAAAGUCGUUAUUGACGCUGAGGCACGAAAGUGUGGGGAUCAAACAGGAUUAGAUACCCUGGUAGUCCACUACUGUAAACUAUGAUAACUCGCUGUCGGCGAUAUACUGUC